This 468-nucleotide ribosomal RNA is filed under the name uncultured bacterium. RNAcentral describes it as "partial 16S ribosomal RNA". It matches the Rfam family "Bacterial small subunit ribosomal RNA", at positions 28 to 507 of the family's 1533-position model. The record is from RNAcentral.
GACGAACGCUGGCGGCGUGCUUAACACAUGCAAGUCGGACGGAAAGGCCCUGCUUUUGUGGGGUGCUCGAGUGGCGAACGGGUGAGUAACACGUGAGUAACCUGCCCUUGACUUUGGGAUAACUUCAGGAAACUGGGGCUAAUACCGGAUAGGAGCUCCUGCUGCAUGGUGGGGGUUGGAAAGUUUCGGCGGUUGGGGAUGGACUCGCGGCUGAUCAGCUUGUUGGUGGGGUAGUGGCUUACCAAGGCUUUGACGGGUAGCCUGCCUGAGAGGGUGACCGGCCACCUUGGGAAUGAGAUACGGCCCAGAGUAGUACGGGAGGCAGCAGUGGGGAAUAUUGCACAAUGGGCGGAAGCCUGAUGCAGCAACGCCGCGUGAGGGAUGACGGCCUUCGGGUUGUAAACCGCUUUCGCCUGUGACGAAGCGUGAGUGACGGUAAUGGGUAAAGAAGCACCGGCUAACUACGUG